RNAcentral lists this ribosomal RNA (262 nucleotides) under uncultured archaeon. RNAcentral's name for it is "partial 16S ribosomal RNA". It matches the Rfam family "Archaeal small subunit ribosomal RNA", at positions 748 to 1008 of the family's 1478-position model. The record is from RNAcentral.
AGGGUGUAAACGCUGCAGACUUGGUGUUGGGGGCCCUUUGGGGGCAUUCAGUGCCGGAGAGAAGUUGUUAAGUCUGCUACUUGGGAGUACGUCCGCAAGGAUGAAACUUAAAGGAAUUGGCGGGGGGAGCACCGCAACGGGAGGAGCGUGCGGUUUAAUUGGAUUCAACACCGUAAAAUUCACCAGGGAAGACUGUUACAUGAAGGCCGAGAUGAAGACUCUGCUAGAUUUUUCAGAGAGGUGGUGCAUGGCGUCAGUGACU